RNAcentral lists this ribosomal RNA (253 nucleotides) under uncultured bacterium. RNAcentral describes it as "partial 16S ribosomal RNA". It matches the Rfam family "Bacterial small subunit ribosomal RNA", at positions 524 to 776 of the family's 1533-position model. The record is from RNAcentral.
UACGAAGGGGGCUAGCGUUGUUCGGAAUUACUGGGCGUAAAGCGCACGUAGGCUGAUUGUUAAGUCAGGGGUGAAAUCCCGGAGCUCAACUCCGGAACUGCCUUUGAUACUGGCAAUCUCGAGUCCGGAAGAGGUUAGUGGGAUUCUCAGUGUAGAGGUGAAAUCCGUAGAUAUUGAGAAGAACACCAGUGGUGAAGGCGGCUAACUGGUCCGGUACUGACGCUGAGGUGCGAAAGCGUGGGGAGCAAACAGG